Molecule: ribosomal RNA, 920 nt
Filed under: Genea aff. harknessii src865
Lineage: Eukaryota; Fungi; Ascomycota; Pezizomycetes; Pezizales; Pyronemataceae
Description: eukaryotic LSU rRNA
Rfam family: Eukaryotic large subunit ribosomal RNA
Source: RNAcentral
UAUCAAUAAGCGGAGGAAAAGAAACCAACCGGGAUUGCCUCAGUAACUGCGAGUGAAGUGGCAAAAGCUCAAAUUUGAAAUCCGGUACCUUUGGUGCCUGACUUGUAAUUUGGAGAGACAAAUUUGGUUGGCAGCGCUGGCCUAGGUUCCUUUGAACAGGACAACACAGAGGGUGAGAAUCCCGUGCAUGGCCGGAGUAGCUGUCACAUUGCUAGAUUGUCUUCGACGAGUCGAGUUGUUUGGGAAUGCAGCUCAAAAUGGGUGGUAAAUGUCAUCUAAAGCUAAAUAUUGGCGAGAGACCGAUAGCGCACAAGUAGAGUGAUCGAAAGAUGAAAAGCACUUUGAAAAGAGAGUCAAAAAGUACGUGAAAUUGCUGAAAGGGAAGCGCUUGAGACCAGACUCGAACCGUGGUGAUCAGCCCUGCUUCUGUGCGGCGUUACUUGCCAUGGUUUGGGCCAGCAUCGGUUCCGGCGGUCGGAUAAAAGGUGGAGGAAUGUAGCUUCCUCCGGGGAGUGUUAAUUUAGCCACCACCACAAUGCGGCCAGCCGGGACCGAGGAUCGCGCUCCACGUUGAGCUAGGAUGCUGGCGUAAUGGUCUUAAGCGACCCGUCUUGAAACACGGACCAAGGAGUCUAACAUCUAUGCGAGUGUUCGGGUGGAAAACCCUUGCGCGAAAUGAAAGUGAACGGAGGUGGGAACCCGAAAGGGUGCACCAUCGACCGAUCCCGAAGUCUUCGGAAGGAUUUGAGUAGGAGCACAGAUGUUGGGACCCGAAAGAUGGUGAACUAUGCCUGAAUAGGGUGAAGCCAGAGGAAACUCUGGUGGAGGCUCGCAGCGGUUCUGACGUGCAAAUCGAUCGUCAAAUUUGGGUAUAGGGGCGAAAGACUAAUCGAACCAUCUAGUAGCUGGUUCCUGCCGAA